CUUGUGUUGCACGGGCAGAUGGUCGGGGAGGAACCAUCGGGAGAAAAUCGGCGUCCACGUGGCCUUCGACCAGGUUCUGAACAUCAAACCCUAUUGCUGCACGGGCUCAGGUCACUCUGUUCACAGAGGGGGCUACACCUACGACCUGUCGGCCGUGGUGAUGCACCACGGCAAAGGCUUUGGCUCAGGGCACUACACCGCAUACUGCUACAACACAGAAGGAGGUUUCUGGGUCCACUGCAAUGACUCUGAGAUGAAGGUUUGCAGCGUGGAGGAAGUGUGCAACACUCAGGCCUACAUUCUCUUCUACACCCAGAGGUCCGCUUAGGGACUUCUCGCUGUGAGCCUGAGCUGCAUUUAUGAAAUUGUUUCGCACCCAGAUGUCACCAAACACACUCUUGAAAAUAGCAAUAGGGACUAAUGUUUCGAUGAUGUUCCCGGCAGGCCGCGGCGAUCACAUUUCAGACCACCGUAGAUGUGCGACAAAGCAAACGUGACAGACCAAAAAGAAUUUGCCACAACAGUCGCCGUGUUGGUUAGCCUCUGCGGUAGCACGUAAUUGCUUCAAAGCCAGCAAAACUUUGAUAUGGAGAAGAAAAGAAAAAAAAAAAGAAGAAAUUCCAUGGCACCAAAUCCCAAAUGAGUUUGCCAUGGCCACCGAGAACAAAAUGCAAACAGAGCAUGAACUGACAAAUGUCCUAAGUGGAUUUGCACAGACCUCCGCCAAGAUUGACAGAAAUUCAAGCGCCCUCUACUUGUGCGUUUUUGGUUUGUGGUCAUCCAUGUUGGAUUGUACCACAUUUGAUUCUGCAACAGGGAGAACCAUGACACAGCGAGAAGAGGAAAUACAUUUCUCUUUCUCCGUCUUGAUUCAGAUUACCAACAAAAUGUAUGAAGGACUAUUAGGGCCACAUGCUAAAGAAAAAUAAUUAAGUCGUAUGGCCACAAGAACAAAGUUGUAAUAGUUUAAAUCAUUGUAACCGUCGGCUUGUUUGGUCAGCGACCACCACAGUGAGUCACUCGCAUGACUUGUAAUCCUCUAAAUCAUAAUUUUACAAGAGCAAAAAAAAAAGACAGUUUGUCUCUCUAUAUGUGCCCUGCAAUUGUGUUGGCGACGAAACCGGGAUGUACAUCACCCCUGCUGAAGUCAGGUGGGAUGGUCUCCUCCUCAACCUGUGAACCGAAUGAGGACAAGCGCUAUUAAAAAUGGCAUGAAUAUAUGGCAGCUCUCAAGACGUAGACAGCGGCCGCUUGUCUCCAAAUGUUGCGUUUACGUCCACAUGGAAUUUUAACACUCACUUGUUAAAAUGGCAACUUCAUUCUCACGUUUCCUCCCCUUUUCUAAAAACCAUGACCUAUUUUUAAUUGUCUUACUCCGUACUACUACUCAAAUUUGGCCGUUUGAUCACAUUUCUACUUCAUUCUUUUUGGAUGACCACGAUUACAUGAGCUUUAUCGUUAACUGUAUGUCUUUUCCCCUUGUAAUUUUACUUUUUUUUUCUCACUAUGGCUCUGAUAGUCCUUCAUAAUAACAUUUAAUGUAAUCUUGUUCCACACUUGUGCCACCUCUCCACAAAAUCAUGCAAAUCAAUCAUUUCAAUUUUGCAUAAAUGGCGGAGGUAAUUUAGCCACUGUGUUUCGAGCCUCAUUUUCGGAUGUGUACAAAGAAACUUUUUCAUAAAUGAAGCGACAGGUCAGUCCGCCUGUGGGACCAGCAGACUGUGCGAGCGGGUUCGAUUAGGUCCUGCUAAAUAUCCAGUGGUGUGCUUGCAUUUAAAAAUUAAGGAGAAAAAAAGCUCAUUUAUAUUGAGUAUGAGGACCGAGCAGGCACACAUACCUGAAACUGCAUUUUAUGUUGAACACAAUACAACACACAAUCUGUAUUCCAUGACUUUUUUUUUGUUUGUUUUGAUUUGUUUUAUCACCUAGAGCGGUUAUAUUUUGUAGCUUUACAUAUGUCAAGAGGGGGAUUAACUCUCCCCAAAAUGGGCCAUCUUACUUGAAACAAGAUUCCGAGAAUUUCAGACUUGUGUUCCUUGUGGUUCUGAUUUUUAUUUCAAAUAUUUUUUACUUUUAUUGUGAAAUGUCACUUUUCGAUUCCUCCCCGUGGACAUCAUGAUGUCGUCUCCUGGUUUGUAUGUUCUCCUCAGCGAGGUUGCUUGAGUUCAUUCUGUGUUCAACUGCCAUGAAAGGAAGCCAAAAGGACACUUGACUGAGAAAUGACGGAGGGUUUUUGAAAAGCGGGUGGGGGUUUGCUCAUCUAGCUGGUCCUAGCUUUGUGAUUGUUCAUUUUUUUUAAAUUUUGCUGCUCCUAUAUGGUUUCUACAUGGGAGCUCCCACCCACCCACCACCACUCUCCCUCAUUGAGUCCAUGUGUAGACGAGACCGGCGAUGGAGACAAGCCACUGCAGAAGUGAUGAAUGUUUCUUUUUUUUUUUUUUUCCUCCUCCUUUUCAAGAGACAUUUGGUACCUUACGUUUUAGCACCUGAAAGCAAUAUAUUGUAAAUCUUAAACCUUGACAGGAAUUUAAGAUCAAAUCAGGAAUUGUUUUUUUUUCUACUCUGCUGUUUCUAUUAAAGUCUUUAGAAUUUGCUAGCUAAUCGAGAAGAAACACUUGUGUUUGAUACGAGUGAAAUCCACACUACAUUUGUCAACUUCAAGUCAGAAACAAUCUUAAUGACGAUGAAUGUCCUACUGCUUAGAGGUCAGGUGAGUUCUGUUGUUAACUUUAAGAAUACAUGUCAUCAAUGUAAUGGUCAUAUGGGUUUUGCCUGACAGUUAUUAAAAACAUGAAGCAAUUUCUU
This is a long non-coding RNA of Hippocampus comes (tiger tail seahorse), 2805 nucleotides long. RefSeq lists it as uncharacterized. The record is from RefSeq and is a predicted model, not a curated record. Lineage: Eukaryota; Metazoa; Chordata; Actinopteri; Syngnathiformes; Syngnathidae. The transcript has 2 exons.